GAUGAACGCUGGCGGCGUGCCUAAUACAUGCAAGUCGAGCGAACAGACGAGGAGCUUGCUCCUCUGAUGUUAGCGGCGGACGGGUGAGUAACACGUGGAUAACCUACCUAUAAGACUGGGAUAACUUCGGGAAACCGGAGCUAAUACCGGAUAAUAUAUUGAACCGCAUGGUUCAAUAGUGAAAGACGGUCUUGCUGUCACUUAUAGAUGGAUCCGCGCCGCAUUAGCUAGUUGGUAAGGUAACGGCUUACCAAGGCAACGAUGCGUAGCCGACCUGAGAGGGUGAUCGGCCACACUGGAACUGAGACACGGUCCAGACUCCUACGGGAGGCAGCAGUAGGGAAUCUUCCGCAAUGGGCGAAAGCUUGACGGAGCAACGCCGCGUGAGUGAUGAAGGUCUUCGGAUCGUAAAACUCUGUUAUUAGGGAAGAACAAAUGUGUAAGUAACUAUGCACGUCUUGACGGUACCUAAUCAGAAAGCCACGACUAACUACGUG
RNAcentral lists this ribosomal RNA (497 nucleotides) under uncultured bacterium. RNAcentral's name for it is "partial 16S ribosomal RNA". It matches the Rfam family "Bacterial small subunit ribosomal RNA", at positions 28 to 507 of the family's 1533-position model. The record is from RNAcentral.